Musa acuminata AAA Group (dessert banana) is the source of this 727-nucleotide long non-coding RNA. RefSeq lists it as uncharacterized. The record is from RefSeq and is a predicted model, not a curated record. The transcript has 2 exons. Lineage: Eukaryota; Viridiplantae; Streptophyta; Magnoliopsida; Zingiberales; Musaceae.
GAACGUUAAGCGGAAAAUGUUGAACCACGUUCAGCGAUCUCUGUCUCUUACCAAUCAAAGCCUGCUAUCGUAGUAGCCUUCUUCCGUGUCUUUUCUCUGCCGAUGAGCAGCGGCAGCCGCAGCGGCUCUUCGAUCUUCGAUGUGGCAUCCUCGCCGAGCUUUUCGUUAUGAGGGGGCCAGCCGGUGGCGAAGCAGCCAAACCCUAGGAUCUGCGUCCCCUGCGGCCUCAUCCACCACCGAUGGCUGCCGUGCCCCUCCGGCCGCCUCCUCGCCCUCCAUCGCGGACGACGGUGUCGCCGAGGCCAAGAUUAGCUGCACGAAGGUGUGGGAGGAAGCUGGGACGGUCGGGAGUCCAAUCAUCGAUACUGCCUGCCCGGCUAGAAGCUGGAGAAGGUCAUCUUUAGGAAGGAAAUAUUGUAGAAGGUCCGGGAUAAGAAAGUGUGGAAUUUGGGCAGGAAGAAGCGGAGGUCGAGUGUCGGGGGAAUAUUGAGGUUAACGAAAAAGAGGAGCAGCAAAGGAGGAGCUUUCGGCAUCAUAUGUUGAGGGGAAUUCUCCUGCUGACAAGAGGGAUCAUGCUGGCAAGAGAGCGAUCAAAUUUUAAUCUUCUAAGAAGGCAAGUAUGCUUGGGUCCAUUUAAAUUGUGUAAGCAUAAAUGUGAUAUGUAGACCUUAUGGCCAAGGUUUUUUCAUCUGGCCUUUUUAAAUCAUCAAAUUGCUUCAAUUUUCAA